ACGUGUUACAAUGGGUGAUACAGAGGGCCGGCCGCUGGCAACAUCGGUCCAAUCCUUAAAGUCAUCCUCAGUUCGGACUGGGGUCUGCAACCCGACCCCACGAAGCUGGGUUCGCUAGUAAUCGCGCAUCAGCCAUGGCGCGGUGAAUACGUUCCCGGGCCUUGUACACACCGCCCGUCAAGCCAUGAAAGCCGGGGGCGCCUGAAGUCCGUGACCGCGAGGGUCAGCCUAGGGUGAAACCGGUGAUUGGGGCUAAGUCGUAACAAGGUAAC
Molecule: ribosomal RNA, 272 nt
Filed under: uncultured bacterium
Lineage: Bacteria
Description: partial 16S ribosomal RNA
Rfam family: Bacterial small subunit ribosomal RNA
Source: RNAcentral